Molecule: ribosomal RNA, 587 nt
Filed under: Cladophora sp. ZZ-2016
Lineage: Eukaryota; Viridiplantae; Chlorophyta; Ulvophyceae; Cladophorales; Cladophoraceae
Description: eukaryotic LSU rRNA
Rfam family: Eukaryotic large subunit ribosomal RNA
Source: RNAcentral
AAAUAAGCAUAUCAAUAAGCGGAGGAAAAGAAACCAACAGGGAUUCCCUUAGUAACGGCGAGCGAAAAGGGAUGAGCCCAGCAUGUAAAUCUCCGGUUUCCGGCGAAUUGUAGUCUGGAGUAGCAACUCCUGGUGCCGUGCCGGCCCAAGCAUCUUGGAAUAGAUCGCCUCAGAGGGUGAGAGCCCCGUAGGUCGGUACGAGCUCCUACACGGAGUGCUCACGCAGAGUCGGGUUGUUUGGGAAUGCAGCCCCAAUUGGGUGGUAAACCCCAUCUAAGGCUAAAUACCUGUGGGAGACCGAUAGCAAAAAAGUACCUCGAGGGAACGAUGAAAAGACCGCUGGCAAGCGAGUGAAAGAGUGCAUGAAAUUGUAUAGUGGGAAGGGAUGGCCUGGCGUAUUGCCCGCGGGUAUACACUGCUCCUUGAGCUCUUGAAUACACCGUGGGCUGGCUGGUGCCGACACCUGCGCUUGCAAAUCCCCAAACUAAGGUGUUUGGCUCUUCAAGCGCGGGUGUUGAGGUUGAUCGUCGCUUUGUUUUAAACUGCGUCGACAAAGCACCAGCUGAAGCCUGUCCAUCUACCCGCGG